GCAUGCAUCAGAAGUGUACCUCUAGAAAGCAAUAAUGAUGUCUGUAUGCAAAAUAGUACCCUGGAAUAUGGUCAGUGGUUUUGUUUCUAAAUCGAAACAAAUAACAAAUUGAACGAAAAAAUUAAAACGCACAUUUUUA
Long non-coding RNA from Phyllostomus discolor (pale spear-nosed bat), 139 nucleotides. RefSeq lists it as uncharacterized. NCBI's taxonomy places the organism in Eukaryota, Metazoa, Chordata, Mammalia, Chiroptera, Phyllostomidae. The transcript has 3 exons. The record is from RefSeq and is a predicted model, not a curated record.